Molecule: ribosomal RNA, 253 nt
Filed under: uncultured bacterium
Lineage: Bacteria
Description: partial 16S ribosomal RNA
Rfam family: Bacterial small subunit ribosomal RNA
Source: RNAcentral
UACGGAGGGUGCAAGCGUUAUCCGGAAUUACUGGGUUUAAAGGGCGCGUAGGCGGCUUUGUAAGUCAGGUGUGAAAGCCCGCAGCUUAACUGCGGAACUGCCUUUGAUACUGCAGUGCUUGAAAGAGGUUGAGGUCAGCGGAACGUGACAUGUAGCGGUGAAAUGCAUAGAUAUGUGACAGAACACCAAUUGCGAAGGCAGCCGGCUGGGCCUACUUUGACGCUGAGGUGCGAAAGCGUGGGGAGCGAACAGG